This 253-nucleotide ribosomal RNA is filed under the name uncultured bacterium. RNAcentral's name for it is "partial 16S ribosomal RNA". It matches the Rfam family "Bacterial small subunit ribosomal RNA", at positions 524 to 776 of the family's 1533-position model. The record is from RNAcentral.
GACGAACCGUGCGAACGUUGUUCGGAAUCACUGGGCUUAAAGGGCGCGUAGGCGGGUUCGCAAGUCAGGGGUGAAAUCUUUCAGCUUAACUGGAAAACAGCCCCUGAUACUGCGAGUCUCGAGGGAGGUAGGGGCAUGUGGAACUUCCGGUGGAGCGGUGAAAUGCGUAGAUAUCGGGAGGAACAUCAGUGGCGAAGGCGGCUACCUGGCCCAAUACUGACACUCAGGUGCGACAGCGUGGGGAGCAAACAGG